UACGUAGGUGGCGAGCGUUAUCCGGAAUGAUUGGGCGUAAAGGGUGCGUAGGCGGGACCUUAAGUCAGCGGUAAAAUUGCGGUGCUCAACGCCGUAGAGCCGUUGAAACUGGGGUUCUUGAGUGAGCGAGAAGUAUGCGGAAUGCGUGGUGUAGCGGUGAAAUGCAUAGAUAUCACGCAGAACCCCGAUUGCGAAGGCAGCAUACCGGCGCUCAACUGACGCUGAGGCACGAAAGUGCGGGUAUCGAACAGG
RNAcentral lists this ribosomal RNA (252 nucleotides) under uncultured Bacteroidales bacterium. Its description in RNAcentral is "partial 16S ribosomal RNA". It matches the Rfam family "Bacterial small subunit ribosomal RNA", at positions 524 to 776 of the family's 1533-position model. The record is from RNAcentral. Lineage: Bacteria; Pseudomonadati; Bacteroidota; Bacteroidia; Bacteroidales.